UUAGUGCCUUCGGGAACUCUGAGACAGGUGCUGCAUGGCUGUCGUCAGCUCGUGUUGUGAAAUGUUGGGUUAAGUCCCGCAACGAGCGCAACCCUUAUCCUUUGUUGCCAGCACGUAAUGGUGGGAACUCAAAGGAGACUGCCGGUGAUAAACCGGAGGAAGGUGGGGAUGACGUCAAGUCAUCAUGGCCCUUACGAGUAGGGCUACACACGUGCUACAAUGGCGCAUACAAAGAGAAGCGACCUCGCGAGAGCAAGCGGACCUCAUAAAGUGCGUCGUAGUCCGGAUUGGAGUCUGCAACUCGACUCCAUGAAGUCGGAAUCGCUAGUAAUCGUAAAUCAGAAUGUUACGGUGAAUACGUUCCCGGGCCUUGUACACACCGCCCGUCACACCAUGGGAGUGGGUUGCAAAAGAAGUAGAUAGCUUAACCUUCGGGAGGGCGUUUACCACUUUGUGAUUCAUGACUGGGGUGAAGUCGUAACAAGGUAACCGUAGGGGAACCUGCGGUUGGAUCACCUCCUUACCUAUAAGA
RNAcentral lists this ribosomal RNA (532 nucleotides) under Rosenbergiella collisarenosi. RNAcentral's name for it is "partial 16S ribosomal RNA". It matches the Rfam family "Bacterial small subunit ribosomal RNA", at positions 1011 to 1533 of the family's 1533-position model. Lineage: Bacteria; Pseudomonadati; Pseudomonadota; Gammaproteobacteria; Enterobacterales; Erwiniaceae. The record is from RNAcentral. RNAcentral also lists the same sequence under 1 other name.